Molecule: ribosomal RNA, 465 nt
Filed under: uncultured bacterium
Lineage: Bacteria
Description: partial 16S ribosomal RNA
Rfam family: Bacterial small subunit ribosomal RNA
Source: RNAcentral
GACGAACGCUGGCGGCGUGCUUAACACAUGCAAGUCGAACGGAAAGGCCCUGCUUGCAGGGUACUCGAGUGGCGAACGGGUGAGUAACACGUGGGUGAUCUGCCCUGCACUUCGGGAUAAGCCUGGGAAACUGGGUCUAAUACCGGAUAGGAGCCAUUUUUAGUGUGAUGGUUGGAAAGUUUUUUCGGUGUAGGAUGAGCUCGCGGCCUAUCAGCUUGUUGGUGGGGUAAUGGCCUACCAAGGCGGCGACGGGUAGCCGGCCUGAGAGGGUGGACGGCCACAUUGGGACUGAGAGACGGCGCAGACUCCUACGGGAGGCAGCAGUGGGGAAUAUUGCACAAUGGGGGCGAGCCUGAUGCAGCGACGCCGCGUGGGGGAUGACGGGCUUCGGGUUGUGAACUCCUUUCGCUAGGGACGAAGCUUUUUGUGACGGUACCUAGAUAAGAAGCACCGGCUAACUACGUG